UUUUUAUGAGAGUUUGAUCCUGGCUCAGGAUGAACGCUGGCGGCGUGCUUAACACAUGCAAGUCGAACGAAGACAUCUGAGUGCUUGCACUUGGAUGGACUGAGUGGCGGACGGGUGAGUAACGCGUGGGUAACCUGCCUUAUA
RNAcentral lists this ribosomal RNA (144 nucleotides) under Clostridium sp. AF15-49. RNAcentral describes it as "partial 16S ribosomal RNA". It matches the Rfam family "Bacterial small subunit ribosomal RNA", at positions 1 to 135 of the family's 1533-position model. RNAcentral also lists the same sequence under 1 other name. The record is from RNAcentral. Lineage: Bacteria; Bacillati; Bacillota; Clostridia; Eubacteriales; Clostridiaceae.